This 457-nucleotide ribosomal RNA is filed under the name uncultured bacterium. RNAcentral describes it as "bacterial SSU rRNA". It matches the Rfam family "Bacterial small subunit ribosomal RNA", at positions 340 to 786 of the family's 1533-position model. The record is from RNAcentral.
UACGGAAGGCAGCAGUGGGGAAUAUUGCACAAUGGGCGCAAGCCUGAUGCAGCCAUGCCGCGUGUAUGAAGAAGGCCUUCGGGUUGUAAAGUACUUUCAGCGGGGAGGAAGGCGAUGCGGUUAAUAACCGCGUCGAUUGACGUUACCCGCAGAAGAAGCACCGGCUAACUCCGUGCCAGCAGCCGCGGUAAUACGGAGGGUGCAAGCGUUAAUCGGAAUUACUGGGCGUAAAGCGCACGCAGGCGGUCUGUUAAGUCAGAUGUGAAAUCCCCGGGCUUAACCUGGGAACUGCAUUUUGAAACUGGCAGGCUUGAGUCUUGUAGAGGGGGUUAGAAUUCCAGGUGUAGCGGUGAAAUGCGUAGAGAUCUGGAGGAAUACCGGUGGCGAAGGCGGCCCCUGGGACAAAGACUGACGCUCAGGUGCGAAAGCGUGGGGAGCAAACAGGGAUUAGGAUACC